AUUGCUUCUCAGCCUCUCAGCUAAGAUAAGAGUACAGUAUUUGUUCUUAUUAGUUUCAUGUCUGAUACAUCCUCUAUCUAAGAACAAUAUAUCAAAUGGAUUUUGGGAGCAGGGAGACAAAAUGGGAGCUUGCCCCAUCCAUUCCAUGCAUCAACCUGGUACUCUAGUAUCUCCAGGGAUGGCACAACAAUU
Molecule: small nuclear RNA, 192 nt
Organism: Heterocephalus glaber (naked mole-rat)
Lineage: Eukaryota; Metazoa; Chordata; Mammalia; Rodentia; Bathyergidae
Gene: U2
Rfam family: U2 spliceosomal RNA
About the family: U2 is a small nuclear RNA (snRNA) component of the spliceosome (involved in pre-mRNA splicing).
Source: Ensembl